RNAcentral lists this ribosomal RNA (253 nucleotides) under uncultured bacterium. RNAcentral's name for it is "partial 16S ribosomal RNA". It matches the Rfam family "Bacterial small subunit ribosomal RNA", at positions 524 to 776 of the family's 1533-position model. The record is from RNAcentral.
UACGGAGGGUGCAAGCGUUAUCCGGAAUUAUUGGGCGUAAAGCGUCCGCAGGCUGUUUGUUAAGUUAGAUGUAAAAUCUUGAAGCCCAACUUCAAGUUUGCGUUUAAAACUGGCAGACUAGAGAGUUUCAGAGGUACACGGAAUUCUGUGUGUAGGGGUAAAAUCCGUAGAUACACAGAGGAACACCAAAAGCGAAGGCAGUGUACUGGGAAAUUUCUGACGCUCAUGGACGAAAGCGUGGGUAGCAAACAGG